AGAACGAACGCUGGCGGCAUGCCUAACACAUGCAAGUCGAACGCUCGUAGCAAUACGGGAGUGGCGGACGGGUGAGUAACGCGUGGGAACCUGCCCUGGAGUGGGGGAUAACCGAUGGAAACGUCGGCUAAUACCGCAUACGACCUGAGGGUGAAAGAUUUAUCGCUCUAGGAGGGGCCCGCGUCGGAUUAGCUAGUUGGUGAGGUAACGGCUCACCAAGGCGAUGAUCCGUAGCUGGUCUGAGAGGAUGAUCAGCCACACUGGGACUGAGACACGGCCCAGACUCCUACGGGAGGCAGCAGUGGGGAAUAUUGGACAAUGGGGGCAACCCUGAUCCAGCAAUGCCGCGUGAGUGAUGAAGGCCUUAGGGUUGUAAAGCUCUUUCGGCGGGGACGAUGAUGACGGUACCCGCAGAAGAAGCCCCGGCUAACUUCGUGCCAGCAGCCGC
This 448-nucleotide ribosomal RNA is filed under the name uncultured bacterium. RNAcentral describes it as "SSU rRNA". It matches the Rfam family "Bacterial small subunit ribosomal RNA", at positions 26 to 518 of the family's 1533-position model. The record is from RNAcentral.